CAAGGAAUUUUGCGCAAUGGGCGAAAGCCUGACGCAGCGACACCGCGUGGGGGAAGAAGGCCUUCGGGUCGUAAACCCCUUUUCUCAGGGAAGAAAACUGACGGUACCUGAGGAAUAAGUCUCGGCUAACUACGUGCCAGCAGCCGCGGUAAUACGUAGGAGGCAAGCGUUAUCCGGAUUUACUGGGCGUAAAGAGGGCGUAGGCGGCUUUUCAAGUCGGAUGUAAAAUCUCUCGGCUUAACCGGGAGGGAUCACUCGAUACUGUUGAGCUAGAGGGCAGCAGAGGAAGACGGAAUUCCCGGUGGAGUGGUGAUAUGCGUAGAUAUCGGGAGGAACACCAGUGGCGAAGGCGGUCUUCUGGGCUGUUCCUGACGCUGAGGCCCAAAAGCGUGGGGAGCGAACAGG
Molecule: ribosomal RNA, 405 nt
Filed under: uncultured bacterium
Lineage: Bacteria
Description: bacterial SSU rRNA
Rfam family: Bacterial small subunit ribosomal RNA
Source: RNAcentral